UUUUAAUGCUUUUGACAUUCUGCCUUCUCAUUCUUUGCUAAUACGGUGAAGGGUGAAAGAGAAAGGAAUGUUAUAGAAUGCUAAGCUUAUUAAUGUUAAGAAUAUCAUUCUUUCUUUUUAAUUUAUAUGUAUUUGUGAUUACAGAUUUCAAAAAAGGGUUACAAGUGAGCAUAGGAUGGAUACAACUAGCUCAAAGAAUGGUGUGAUUUUCAGAUAUUUUACUCGGUAUAUAUUGCUGAGUUCUUAUGCUGUUCUAAAUUGAGUGAUUUCAGUUUUAUAGCAAGGAAAGAAGGGAGUGAAGAAAGAAACUGGACUUGGUCUAACAUAUAAAAAGGAUGAAAAUUUUGGAGAAUGGUACUCUGAGGUUGUUGUUAAUAGUAAAUGAUUGAAUACUAUGAUAUAUCCGGCUUUUACAUUUUGCUACCUUGGAUGAUGGCAAUCUUGGAAACCUUACUUGCAUUUUUUGAUGUAGAGAUAAAAAAGCUUGAUGUAGAAAGUGCAUGAUUUCUUCUAUUGGUAACAAAGAAUGUUUUGCAAAAAAGAGAAGGAUCAUAUUGAAGGUUUCGCUACGGA
This is an RNA transcript of Phalaenopsis equestris, 573 nucleotides long. It is a transcript of the gene named proline--tRNA ligase, cytoplasmic-like, with no coding region annotated. The transcript has 3 exons. NCBI's taxonomy places the organism in Eukaryota, Viridiplantae, Streptophyta, Magnoliopsida, Asparagales, Orchidaceae. The record is from RefSeq and is a predicted model, not a curated record.